AUGCUCACUUCAACAGCACAUAUGCUGAUAUUGGAAUGAUACAGAGAAGGUUAAUGUGACCCCUGUGCAAUCAUGACACAUAAAUUUGUGAAGUGUUCCAAUUUUUU
Small nuclear RNA from Felis catus (domestic cat), 107 nucleotides. NCBI's taxonomy places the organism in Eukaryota, Metazoa, Chordata, Mammalia, Carnivora, Felidae. The record is from Rfam.